Molecule: long non-coding RNA, 888 nt
Filed under: Aquilegia coerulea
Lineage: Eukaryota; Viridiplantae; Streptophyta; Magnoliopsida; Ranunculales; Ranunculaceae
Description: long non-coding RNA (ACOE_LNC000751)
Source: RNAcentral
UUUUCAUUUCUACCCUUCUUACACUCACCUAAUUUUUCACACAUCACAAAACUUGCUUCUAGAAAAUUUUUAAAAUCAAAGUUUGCAUUAUGGAAAUUUUUAAAAUCAAAGCUUUCAUCUUAAAAGCUUUAAAAUCAUGACUUUCAAAAUGAACAAACAACUCAUUCAUGAAAAGAUUUGAACUAUAGCAAACCUUAACAAUAUACAGUCAUCUAAAAUUCUUGAUAGAUAGAGCUUAUUGAUGUCUGAGCCUUAAAGUGAAACUAUUUUUCUGGUGCUUGAUCUUGGGGAGAACACAAAUGAAGGGAAAACUUGAAUCGAAAGGGAAUGCAUCUUGAUCCUGUUUAUGUGAUGUGUAACAAUGCAGAUGAAUCUAUGCUCCAUCUUUUUCUGCAAUGCAAUUUUGCCAGUCAGAUAUGGGAGAUGGUUCUGAGUCCUUUGUGUAAUUCGAAGCCCGACUCAAGGUCUGCAACAGGGGUUCAAAGGUGGCUGGAGAGUUGGCCUGCUGUACACCUUCACAACUUGGUGCUUAACUAUGGGAGUUGGCUCCGUAUGCGGUUAUUUGGGCAAUAUGGAAGGCUCGAAACGAGAAGAUUUUCAAGGGUAAAUUCAGGAAUGCACAAACGGUAUGUCUGGAAGCGAAAUGGUAUCUCUGGUAUUGGCAUUCUUGCUCUGUAGUCAGAAGGGGACAUAACUUACAUUAGCUGCUCCUGGACUAGGAUGCACAUGUAAGGGGAAGGUAGAAGUAGGAGUUGUAAACUUGUAAUUGCUUUUUUUUGUUUUUUUCUUGUAUCCCAAGUGAGUUCCUAUCUCACCUUGAAACCUCUUUCAUUUGUUCAUCAAUCAUCAAUAAAGCUUUGAACUUAUCAAAAAAUGUCUGAGCCUUAA